Molecule: long non-coding RNA, 509 nt
Organism: Prosopis cineraria
Lineage: Eukaryota; Viridiplantae; Streptophyta; Magnoliopsida; Fabales; Fabaceae
Exons: 3
Source: RefSeq, a predicted model, not a curated record
GCUUCGGCAGAGAGAGCAUCUGUGAGCCAAGUUCACCGGUGCUGGGUUUUAAGAUUGUAUUACUGAUGAAGAUUGUGGUGAGAGAGAAAUUUUAAGGAAUAAUUUAUUGAAAAAGCCACAAGGAGAAGAGCCACGAGUGACACGUGGAGGAGUCCCAGAGGCUUAGUGGUAUAGAUCCACUGUCUCUUUUGGGUAUUUAAUUUAUGAUUUAUAAUGUGUUAUAUUGCCAAUAUUAGGACUUUUUUUUAUUGUCAAUUAUAUGAAUAUAUAAAUGUAAUCAUGCCUUUCAAACUAUUUCUAUUUUUGGUACAAUUUGGAUGACUGUAAUUUUAAUAUUUGGUUUACUUUGGAUUGGUUAAAAUGGGAUGAUUAUAAGGCCAAAUAACUGGCUUGUGUUGAAAAUUUAUUAAAUUGCUUAUUUUACUUGUUGGGAGUAUAAGUAUGGACAAAUGUGAUUUAGUUUACUUGUUGGGAGUAUAAGGAUGGACAAAUAUGAUUUAGCCUAAUGG